CCUACGGGAGGCUGCAGUGAGGAAUAUUGGUCAAUGGCCGGGAGGCUGAACCAGCCAAGUCGCGUGAGGGAAGACGGCCCUACGGGUUGUAAACCUCUUUUGUCAGGGAGCAAGGUGCAGGUCGGGACCUGCUGUGAGAGUACCUGAAGAAAAAGCAUCGGCUAACUCCGUGCCAGCAGCCGCGGUAAUACGGAGGAUGCGAGCGUUAUCCGGAUUUAUUGGGUUUAAAGGGUGCGCAGGCGGAGGGCCAAGUCAGCGGUAAAAUCGCGUGGCUCAACCCCGCCCCGCCGUUGAAACUGUGUGCCUUGAGUGCGCGAAGGGUAGGCGGAAUGCGUGGUGUAGCGGUGAAAUGCAUAGAUAUCACGCAGAACUCCGAUCGCGAAGGCAGCCUACCGGCGCGCAACUGACGCUCAUGCACGAAAGCGUGGGUAUCGAACAGGAUUAGAUACCCCUGUAGUC
Molecule: ribosomal RNA, 459 nt
Filed under: uncultured bacterium
Lineage: Bacteria
Description: partial 16S ribosomal RNA
Rfam family: Bacterial small subunit ribosomal RNA
Source: RNAcentral